This 218-nucleotide ribosomal RNA is filed under the name Enterobacter kobei. RNAcentral describes it as "partial 23S ribosomal RNA". It matches the Rfam family "Bacterial large subunit ribosomal RNA", at positions 1 to 220 of the family's 2925-position model. RNAcentral also lists the same sequence under 4 other names. The record is from RNAcentral. Lineage: Bacteria; Pseudomonadati; Pseudomonadota; Gammaproteobacteria; Enterobacterales; Enterobacteriaceae.
GGUUAAGCGACUAAGCGUACACGGUGGAUGCCCUGGCAGUCAGAGGCGAUGAAGGACGUGCUAAUCUGCGAAAAGCGCCGGCGAGGUGAUAUGAACCUUUGACCCGGCGAUGUCCGAAUGGGGAAACCCAGUGUGUUCCGACACACUAUCGUUAACUGAAUACAUAGGUUAACGAGGCGAACCGGGGGAACUGAAACAUCUAAGUACCCCGAGGAAAA